Molecule: ribosomal RNA, 253 nt
Filed under: uncultured bacterium
Lineage: Bacteria
Description: partial 16S ribosomal RNA
Rfam family: Bacterial small subunit ribosomal RNA
Source: RNAcentral
UACGAGUGGUCCAAGCGUUAUCCGGUCUUAUUGGGCGUAAAGGGUCCGCAGGCGGUAGUAUAAGUCGGAUGUUAAAUCCUGGUGCUCAACAUCAGGACUGCAUCGGAAACUAUACAACUAGAGGCUGGGAGAGGUGCAUGGAAUUGUCGGUGUAGUAGUAAAAUGCGUUAAUAUCGACAAGAACACCAAAGGCGAAGGCAUUGCAGUAGAACAGUUCUAACGCUAAGGGACGAAAGCGUGGGGAGCGAAUGGG